This 209-nucleotide non-coding RNA is filed under the name Bacillus gaemokensis. Its description in RNAcentral is "T-box sequence". It matches the Rfam family "T-box leader". Rfam says of the family: Uncharged tRNA acts as the effector for transcription antitermination of genes in the T-box leader family. T-boxes are found upstream of many aminoacyl-tRNA synthetase genes and some amino acid biosynthetic genes usually in Gram-positive bacteria. Lineage: Bacteria; Bacillati; Bacillota; Bacilli; Caryophanales; Bacillaceae. The record is from RNAcentral.
GUCAUAACGAUGAAAAAGGAUUAGUACAUGUCUCACCUUUUUGCAGAGAGAGAAUCCAUUUGGCUGAGAGAUUCUUAAAAAGACGAUAUGGAACCUACCUUUGCGUUCUGCAUAUGCAGCGGGAAGUUCCCGUUAUCAAAAAGAGAGCAUGUACAAUUUAUUUGUAUAUGAAUCAGGGUGGUAACGCCGGCAAAAGCUCGGUCCCUAUU